RNAcentral lists this long non-coding RNA (2126 nucleotides) under Homo sapiens (human). RNAcentral describes it as "non-protein coding lnc-RXFP4-2:8". The record is from RNAcentral. Lineage: Eukaryota; Metazoa; Chordata; Mammalia; Primates; Hominidae.
AUCCGCCCCCAGCUCUUAGAAAACCCAGGACCAGUUCCUUCCUGGCCUUCGGGGUCCCAUCAAAGCAGGCCUGAGCAGACUGACCCCUUUUACGAUUGGGGGCAGGGGUGGCCAGAGGGAGAGGAAAUCAAAGGAGAACUAAACGCUGGAUCUUCAGUACACGGGAAGGGUAGGAUUCACUCCCAGAGGUCGAAGAACAGAGAGGAGAGAAUUCUCCCACAUGCCCCACCCUUCUGGGGCCUUCCUGACCCCACUCUGCCCUCCUCCUAGCUCCGCCUCUGCCAGCUACUUUGGGGGACUAGGUUGGGAUUCUCCACUUUUACCGAAGGCCUUCCAUGUGUCUAACUGCAGUUCUCUCUGUUGCAAGUUAAGCCGGAACUGAAAGACCAGAAACCAGCCUGCCCUAGUCAAAGAAAGUUAGGGCCCAACCAGCCUCUCCCCAAGAAGCAGGGUAAGGUGGGGCAUUCAUCUCUCUGGACCCUUUUCCCCAGCCUGAGCCAGCCUUUGGGGGUAGGGAGGAGGUCCCAGGGAAGAACCUGGUUGCCAAAGUCUCGGCCAGUUGGAGAAGAGAUGGGUCUCCCGAGGAUACCCAAGCCCAAGCUCUACACUGUCCCAAGGUGGUUUGUUUUUCUUCUUUCUUCUAUUGGUCUGGACCUUGUAUAUUCUGGGAGGAGGUGAUUAAGGCCAAAUUGCCUUAAGUGGCCAUCCAGCCAGAAGCUGGAAGAAGGGAAGGAUGAGAGGGAAUGAACUGUUGUGUUACGGCUAUUGAGAGAAACAGUGGCAAUACACAGCCAAAGCCCUGAGUUUCUAAUACGGCGCCACCUCUUAUGAGCUGUGAGAUCUUGGGCAAAGUAACUAACCUUUAAGUAUUUGUCUGUAGAAUUGAGAUUGAAAUACUUAUCUUUGCCAGAAUUGUUAUAAGAAUUAAAUGAGUUGAAAGUGUUUCAUCAAGUGUGCAAUGCUACUCAAGUAGGAGGGACUAAGCUACUUCCUUCUCUCACUGCUUGACUGAGCUUCUCUCCAGCCCCACCCCCUGAUGUUUACUGCUUAUGGAGAAAGAGAUUAAGUGAAGCAGGCCCACACAUUCAUGAAGGUGGAAGGAAGAUGUAGCAGGAGAUGGUGGAGAGGGAAACAGAGGAAGACAGGAUGACAGACGUGGGGAGGAAAGGCUGAGCGAGGCAAUGUCCUGACUCACUCUGGCGCUUCCCUCUUUCCCAUCUGGGCUCCAGAGUCUCUGCCCUCAUUCCCCUUCACCAGGUUGCUCAACCCUCCAUCAGACUGUUAGGUCAAGGGUGGACAAACAGACCAACCGGGAUCUGGAUGGCCCCUGGGCAGUACUGACUUCCCCUACCAUUCCCAUGGCAAGAAAAGGGAGUGAUUCCACUAGCAGACUCCCCUACCCUGCAGUGAGACAGCCUGUAGGAAGGUGAGACUCAGACCCCAAGGUUUCUGCUUUUGCUUUGUUCCUUCGAGAUCUCCAUUCCCCCAUGGGAGAGAAACCUCUCUGUCCCACCUGCCCUCCCCUCCCAUCAGCUUUCAGAUUCUCCAGCUGCUCCUCUUCUGAGACUCACCCAGUCUCAUGCCUCCAUUAGCCUCAACUCCCGACCCAUGGCCUGUGGUGAGAGGUGCUAACAACAUGACCUGCUUUCAUCUUGACCUUCCCAGCCCACCCAGAGAAAAGGGAAUCUUGGCUAAAAAAAGGCUGGAAGAGGGGAGAACCCUGGCACUGCGGGUGGGGCUGGGAGGAGCCCAGGCAACCUUACUGGUGAGAAUCUCAUGGCUCUUCAAGGUGAAUAUGAUGAUGAUUUCCCUGGGGUUUCUUUCAAUACUCAGAAGCCGCCCCGAGUUGGAAAGCACAUGCAUACUUGGGGAGGCCAGGGGAGGAAAAGGGGGGCGGCUCACUCUGACAGUAAAUGAAGAAAGUGGAAACAAAUUCAAGGAGCAGGCAGAGCUCCCGGUUUCACCAGAGCCCAACGGUUGGUAAUAAGGAUGAGAACAAUGUGCCUUCACUUCCUGGGAUCAGAACAGCACAUGGCCGCACAUGUACGGGUAUGCAUGUGCUUCCAUAAUCAUAUACUUUCCCAGCUUCUACUCUGCCUGUGGUCUAAUUUCAACUCCUUCAGCUG